GCGCCCGUAGCUCAGCUGGAUAGAGUAUCGGUUUCCGAAGCCGAGGGUCACAGGUUCAAGUCCUGUCGGGCGCG
RNAcentral lists this transfer RNA (74 nucleotides) under Methylophaga frappieri. RNAcentral describes it as "Methylophaga sp. JAM7 tRNA". It matches the Rfam family "tRNA". Rfam says of the family: Transfer RNA (tRNA) molecules are approximately 80 nucleotides in length. Their secondary structure includes four short double-helical elements and three loops (D, anti-codon, and T loops). The record is from Rfam by way of RNAcentral. Lineage: Bacteria; Pseudomonadati; Pseudomonadota; Gammaproteobacteria; Thiotrichales; Piscirickettsiaceae.